AUGCCUUAAACUGAUGAGUAAGGAAAAUAACGACGCGGGGUGACGCCCGUGUCCUCGCCCAGAUUUGCGAGAACAAUUUUUAAAAGGGCACAGGUCCGUCUGUUAGGUGACUCGCCUACUUUGUGAGAUGCCUCGCAGGUAGUAGAUCUGCCCU
Small nuclear RNA from Conger conger (European conger), 154 nucleotides. RefSeq annotates it as U12 minor spliceosomal RNA. The transcript has a single exon. The record is from RefSeq and is a predicted model, not a curated record. NCBI's taxonomy places the organism in Eukaryota, Metazoa, Chordata, Actinopteri, Anguilliformes, Congridae.